CUUAAAUUGAAGAGUUUGAUCAUGGCUCAGAUUGAACGCUGGCGGCAGGCCUAACACAUGCAAGUCGAGCGGAAACGAGUUAUCAGAACC
RNAcentral lists this ribosomal RNA (90 nucleotides) under Vibrio parahaemolyticus. RNAcentral describes it as "partial 16S ribosomal RNA". It matches the Rfam family "Bacterial small subunit ribosomal RNA", at positions 1 to 87 of the family's 1533-position model. Lineage: Bacteria; Pseudomonadati; Pseudomonadota; Gammaproteobacteria; Vibrionales; Vibrionaceae. The record is from RNAcentral.